GGGGAAUAUUGGGCAAUGGGGGAAACCCUGACCCAGCGACGUCGCGUGAGGGAAGAAGGUCUUCGGAUUGUAAACCUUUGUCAACAGGGAAGAAGCAAGUGACGGUACCCUUGGAGGAAGCCCCGGCUAACUACGUGCCAGCAGCCGCGGUAAUACGUAGGGGGCAAGCGUUAUCCGGAAUUAUUGGGCGUAAAGAGUGCGUAGGUGGUUUUGUAAGCGCGGGGUGAAAGGCUAUGGCUCAACCAUAGUAAGCCUUGCGAACUGUAAGACUUGAGUGCAGGAGAGGAAAGCGGAAUUCCUGGUGUAGCGGUGAAAUGCGUAGAUAUUAGGAGGAACACCAGUGGCGAAGGCGGCUUUCUGGACUGUAACUGACACUGAGGCACGAAAGCGUGGGGAGCAAACA
RNAcentral lists this ribosomal RNA (403 nucleotides) under uncultured Eubacteriales bacterium. RNAcentral's name for it is "bacterial SSU rRNA". It matches the Rfam family "Bacterial small subunit ribosomal RNA", at positions 356 to 774 of the family's 1533-position model. The record is from RNAcentral. Lineage: Bacteria; Bacillati; Bacillota; Clostridia; Eubacteriales.